RNAcentral lists this ribosomal RNA (468 nucleotides) under uncultured bacterium. Its description in RNAcentral is "partial 16S ribosomal RNA". It matches the Rfam family "Bacterial small subunit ribosomal RNA", at positions 28 to 507 of the family's 1533-position model. The record is from RNAcentral.
GACGAACGCUGGCGACGUGCUUAACACAUGCAAGUCGAACGGAAAGGCCCUGCUUUUGUGGGGUGCUCGAGUGGCGAACGGGUGAGUAACACGUGAGUAACCUGCCCUUGACUUUGGGAUAACUUCAGGAAACUGGGGCUAAUACCGGAUAGGAGCUCCUGCUGCAUGGUGGGGGUUGGAAAGUUUCGGCGGUUGGGGAUGGACUCGCGGCUUAUCAGCUUGUUGGUGGGGUAGUGGCUUACCAAGGCUUUGACGGGUAGCCGGCCUGAGAGGGUGACCGGCGACAUUGGGACUGAGAUACGGACCAGACUCCUACGGGAGGCAGCAGUGGGAAAUAUUGCACAAUGGGCGGAAGCCUGAUGCAGCAACGCCGCGUGCGGGAUGACGGCCUUCGGGUUGUAAACCGCUUUCGCCUGUGACGAAGCGUGAGUGACGGUAAUGGGUAAAGAAGCACCGGCUAACUACGUG